AGAGUCAAUGUGGAGGCUAUAUACAGGGUGUUACGGUACAGAGUCAAUGUGGAGGCUAUAUACAGGGUAUUACGGUACAGAGUCAAUGUGGAGGCUAUAUACAGGGGGGUACUGGUACAGAGUCAAUGUGGAGGCUAUAUACAGGGUGUUACGGUACAGAGUCAAUGUGGAGACUAUAUACAGGGUGUUACAGUACAGAGUCAAUGUGGAGGCUAUAUACAGGGUGUUACGGUACAGAGUCAAUGUGGAGGCUAUAUACAGGGGGUACCGGUACAGAGUCAAUGUGGAGGCUAUAUACAGGGUGUUACGGUACAGAGUCAAUGUGGAGGCUAUAUACAGGGGGUACCGGUACAGAGUCAAUGUGGAGGCUAUAUACAGGGUGUUACGGUACAGAGUCAGUGUGGAGGCUAUAUACAGGGGGUACCGGUACAGAGUCAGUGUGGAGGCUAUAUACAGGGUGUUACGGUACAGAGUCAAUGUGGAGGCUAUAUACAGGGUGUUACGGUACAGAGUCAAUGUGGAGGCUAUAUACAGGGUGUUACGGUACAGAGUCAAUGUGGAGGCUAUAUACAGGGGGUACCGGUACAGAGUCAAUGUGGAGGCUAUAUACAGGGGGUACCGGUACAGAGUCAAUGUGGAGGCUAUAUACAAGGGGUACCGGUACAGAGUCAAUGUGGAGGCUAUAUACAGGGUGUUACGGUACAGAGUCAAUGUGGAGGCUAUAUACAGGGGGUACCGGUACAGAGUCAAUGUGGAGACUAUAUACAGGGUGUUACGGUACAGAGUCAAUGUG
Molecule: long non-coding RNA, 793 nt
Filed under: Salmo salar (Atlantic salmon)
Lineage: Eukaryota; Metazoa; Chordata; Actinopteri; Salmoniformes; Salmonidae
Description: lncRNA (ENSSSAG00000102147.1)
Source: RNAcentral